Molecule: ribosomal RNA, 475 nt
Filed under: uncultured bacterium
Lineage: Bacteria
Description: bacterial SSU rRNA
Rfam family: Bacterial small subunit ribosomal RNA
Source: RNAcentral
GAUGAACGCUAGCGGCAGGCUUAACACAUGCAAGUCGAGGGGCAGCACUUGUAGCAAUACAUGGUGGCGACCGGCGCAAGGGUGCGUAACGCGUGAGCAACAUGCCCGUAUCAGGGGGAUAAUCCAGGGAAACUUGGUCUAAUACCCCAUAGCAAUUAUUUGAGGCAUCUUAAAUAAUUUAAAGCUUUGGUGGAUACGGAUUGGCUCGCGUGACAUUAGCUAGAUGGUAAGGUAACGGCUUACCAUGGCUACGAUGUCUAGGGGUUCUGAGAGGAAGAUCCCCCACACUGGAACUGAGACACGGUCCAGACUCCUACGGGAGGCAGCAGUGAGGAAUAUUGGACAAUGGAUGGAAAUCUGAUCCAGCCAUGCCGCGUGCAGGAAGACGGCCCUAUGGGUUGUAAACUGCUUUUGUGUGGGAGCAAUAAGGUCUAUGCGUAGACUGAUGAGAGUACCAUACGAAUAAGCAUCGGCU